Molecule: ribosomal RNA, 481 nt
Filed under: uncultured bacterium
Lineage: Bacteria
Description: bacterial SSU rRNA
Rfam family: Bacterial small subunit ribosomal RNA
Source: RNAcentral
ACGCUGGCGGCGCGCCUAAUACAUGCAAGUCGAGCGAGAAGGUGUAGCAAUACACUUGUAAAGCGGCGAACGGGUGAGGAAUACAUGGGUAAUCUACCAUCGAGUGGGGAAUAACCAGCCGAAAGGUUGGCUAAUACCGCGUACGCUUCCGAGUCUUCGGGCUUGGAAGGAAAGCCGCACUGUGAGUGCGGCGCUCUUUGAUGAGCUCAUGUCCUAUCAGCUUGUUGGUAGGGUAACGGCCUACCAAGGCUUUGACGGGUAGCUGGUCUGAGAGGACGAUCAGCCACACUGGCACUGCGACACGGGCCAGACUCCUACGGGAGGCAGCAGUAAGGAAUAUUGCGCAAUGGGCGAAAGCCUGACGCAGCGACGCCGCGUGGGGGGAUGAAGGUCUUCGGAUUGUAAACCCCUUUCGGGAGGGAAGAUGGAGCGAGCAAUCGUUCGGACGGUACCUCCAGAAGCAGCCACGGCCAACUUCGUG